UGUAGCUCAGUUGGAUAGAGCGUCGGUCUCCGAAGCCGAAGGUCACGGGUUCAACUCCCGUCA
Molecule: transfer RNA, 63 nt
Filed under: bovine gut metagenome
Rfam family: tRNA
About the family: Transfer RNA (tRNA) molecules are approximately 80 nucleotides in length.
Source: RNAcentral